GGGUUGUGAGGUUAAGCGACUAAGCGUACACGGUGGAUGCCCUGGCAGUCAGAGGCGAUGAAGGACGUGCUAAUCUGCGAUAAGCGUCGGUAAGGUGAUAUGAACCGUUAUAACCGGCGAUUUCCGAAUGGGGAAACCCAGUGUGUUUCGACACACUAUCAUUAACUGAAUCCAUAGGUUAAUGAGGCGAACCGGGGGAACUGAAACAUCUAAGUACCCCGAGGAAAAGAAAUCAACCGAGAUUCCCCCAGUAGCGGCGAGCGAACGGGGAGCAGCCCAGAGCCUGAAUCAGUGUGUGUGUUAGUGGAAGCGUCUGGAAAGGCGCGCGAUACAGGGUGACAGCCCCGUACACAAAAAUGCACAUAUUGUGAGCUCGAUGAGUAGGGCGGGACACGUGGUAUCCUGUCUGAAUAUGGGGGGACCAUCCUCCAAGGCUAAAUACUCCUGACUGACCGAUAGUGAACCAGUACCGUGAGGGAAAGGCGAAAAGAACCCCGGCGAGGGGAGUGAAAAAGAACCUGAAACCGUGUACGUACAAGCAGUGGGAGCACGCUUAGGCGUGUGACUGCGUACCUUUUGUAUAAUGGGUCAGCGACUUAUAUUCUGUAGCAAGGUUAACCGAAUAGGGGAGCCGAAGGGAAACCGAGUCUUAACUGGGCGUUAAGUUGCAGGGUAUAGACCCGAAACCCGGUGAUCUAGCCAUGGGCAGGUUGAAGGUUGGGUAACACUAACUGGAGGACCGAACCGACUAAUGUUGAAAAAUUAGCGGAUGACUUGUGGCUGGGGGUGAAAGGCCAAUCAAACCGGGAGAUAGCUGGUUCUCCCCGAAAGCUAUUUAGGUAGCGCCUCGUGAAUUCAUCUCCGGGGGUAGAGCACUGUUUCGGCAAGGGGGUCAUCCCGACUUACCAACCCGAUGCAAACUGCGAAUACCGGAGAAUGUUAUCACGGGAGACACACGGCGGGUGCUAACGUCCGUCGUGAAGAGGGAAACAACCCAGACCGCCAGCUAAGGUCCCAAAGUCAUGGUUAAGUGGGAAACGAUGUGGGAAGGCCCAGACAGCCAGGAUGUUGGCUUAGAAGCAGCCAUCAUUUAAAGAAAGCGUAAUAGCUCACUGGUCGAGUCGGCCUGCGCGGAAGAUGUAACGGGGCUAAACCAUGCACCGAAGCUGCGGCAGCGACGCUGAUGCGUUGUUGGGUAGGGGAGCGUUCUGUAAGCCUGUGAAGGUGUGCUGUGAGGCAUGCUGGAGGUAUCAGAAGUGCGAAUGCUGACAUAAGUAACGAUAAAGCGGGUGAAAAGCCCGCUCGCCGGAAGACCAAGGGUUCCUGUCCAACGUUAAUCGGGGCAGGGUGAGUCGACCCCUAAGGCGAGGCCGAAAGGCGUAGUCGAUGGGAAACAGGUUAAUAUUCCUGUACUUGGUGUUACUGCGAAGGGGGGACGGAGAAGGCUAUGUUGGCCGGGCGACGGUUGUCCCGGUUUAAGCGUGUAGGCUGGUUUUCCAGGCAAAUCCGGAAAAUCAAGGCUGAGGCGUGAUGACGAGGCACUACGGUGCUGAAGCAACAAAUGCCCUGCUUCCAGGAAAAGCCUCUAAGCAUCAGGUAACAUCAAAUCGUACCCCAAACCGACACAGGUGGUCAGGUAGAGAAUACCAAGGCGCUUGAGAGAACUCGGGUGAAGGAACUAGGCAAAAUGGUGCCGUAACUUCGGGAGAAGGCACGCUGAUAUGUAGGUGAAGUCCCUUGCGGAUGGAGCUGAAAUCAGUCGAAGAUACCAGCUGGCUGCAACUGUUUAUUAAAAACACAGCACUGUGCAAACACGAAAGUGGACGUAUACGGUGUGACGCCUGCCCGGUGCCGGAAGGUUAAUUGAUGGGGUCAGCGCAAGCGAAGCUCUUGAUCGAAGCCCCGGUAAACGGCGGCCGUAACUAUAACGGUCCUAAGGUAGCGAAAUUCCUUGUCGGGUAAGUUCCGACCUGCACGAAUGGCGUAAUGAUGGCCAGGCUGUCUCCACCCGAGACUCAGUGAAAUUGAACUCGCUGUGAAGAUGCAGUGUACCCGCGGCAAGACGGAAAGACCCCGUGAACCUUUACUAUAGCUUGACACUGAACAUUGAGCCUUGAUGUGUAGGAUAGGUGGGAGGCUUGGAAGUGUGGACGCCAGUCUGCAUGGAGCCGACCUUGAAAUACCACCCUUUAAUGUUUGAUGUUCUAACGUUGACCCGUAAUCCGGGUUGCGGACAGUGUCUGGUGGGUAGUUUGACUGGGGCGGUCUCCUCCUAAAGAGUAACGGAGGAGCACGAAGGUUGGCUAAUCCUGGUCGGACAUCAGGAGGUUAGUGCAAUGGCAUAAGCCAGCUUGACUGCGAGCGUGACGGCGCGAGCAGGUGCGAAAGCAGGUCAUAGUGAUCCGGUGGUUCUGAAUGGAAGGGCCAUCGCUCAACGGAUAAAAGGUACUCCGGGGAUAACAGGCUGAUACCGCCCAAGAGUUCAUAUCGACGGCGGUGUUUGGCACCUCGAUGUCGGCUCAUCACAUCCUGGGGCUGAAGUAGGUCCCAAGGGUAUGGCUGUUCGCCAUUUAAAGUGGUACGCGAGCUGGGUUUAGAACGUCGUGAGACAGUUCGGUCCCUAUCUGCCGUGGGCGCUGGAGAACUGAGGGGGGCUGCUCCUAGUACGAGAGGACCGGAGUGGACGCAUCACUGGUGUUCGGGUUGUCAUGCCAAUGGCACUGCCCGGUAGCUAAAUGCGGAAGAGAUAAGUGCUGAAAGCAUCUAAGCACGAAACUUGCCCCGAGAUGAGUUCUCCCUGACUCCUUGAGAGUCCUGAAGGAACGUUGAAGACGACGACGUUGAUAGGCCGGGUGUGUAAGCGCAGCGAUGCGUUGAGCUAACCGGUACUAAUGAACCGUGAGGCUUAACCUUACAACGCCGAAGCUGUU
This 2930-nucleotide ribosomal RNA is filed under the name Escherichia coli. RNAcentral describes it as "23S ribosomal RNA". It matches the Rfam family "Bacterial large subunit ribosomal RNA". Lineage: Bacteria; Pseudomonadati; Pseudomonadota; Gammaproteobacteria; Enterobacterales; Enterobacteriaceae. The record is from RNAcentral.